CCUACGGGAGGCUGCAGUGAGGAAUAUUGGUCAAUGGCCGGAAGACUGAACCAGCCAAGCCGCGUGAGGGAGGAAGGCGCAGAGCAUCGCAAACCUCUUUUGCCGGGGGACAAAAGGCCGGACGCGUCCGCUUCUGCGUGUACCCGGCGAACAAGCAUCGGCUAACUCCGUGCCAGCAGCCGCGGUAAUACGGAGGAUGCGAGCGUUAUCCGGAUUCAUUGGGUUUAAAGGGUGCGCAGGCGGGCCUUUAAGCCGGCGGGGAAAGCGCGGGGCUCAACCCCGCCGCGCCGGCGGAACUGGGGGUCUGGAGUGAGGGGGAGGCAGGCGGAAUGCGCGGUGUAGCGGUGAAAUGCAUAGAUAUCGCGCAGAACCCCGAUUGCGAAGGCAGCGUGCCGUGUCGACACUGACGCUGAGGCACGAAAGCGUGGGUAUCAAACAGGAUUAGAUACCCGAGUAGUC
This 459-nucleotide ribosomal RNA is filed under the name uncultured bacterium. RNAcentral's name for it is "partial 16S ribosomal RNA". It matches the Rfam family "Bacterial small subunit ribosomal RNA", at positions 338 to 795 of the family's 1533-position model. The record is from RNAcentral.